AUGAAAGCCGAGGGUCUUUAGUUUCGAGUGGCGAAUGGACGAGUAACGCGUAAGAACCUGCCGUUGGAGGGGAACAACAACUCAAAACGCUUGCUAAUACCCGUAAGCUGAGGAGCAAAAGGAGAAAUCCGCCCAAGGAGGGGCUCGCAUCUGAUUAGCUAAUUGGUGAGGCAAUAGGUUACCAAGGCGAUGAUCAGUAGCUGGUCCAGCCCAGAUUCCUACGGAAGGCAGCA
RNAcentral lists this non-coding RNA (233 nucleotides) under Triticum aestivum (bread wheat). Its description in RNAcentral is "Bacterial small subunit ribosomal RNA". It matches the Rfam family "Bacterial small subunit ribosomal RNA", at positions 70 to 353 of the family's 1533-position model. The record is from Rfam by way of RNAcentral. Lineage: Eukaryota; Viridiplantae; Streptophyta; Magnoliopsida; Poales; Poaceae.